RNAcentral lists this ribosomal RNA (435 nucleotides) under uncultured bacterium. RNAcentral's name for it is "bacterial SSU rRNA". It matches the Rfam family "Bacterial small subunit ribosomal RNA", at positions 355 to 788 of the family's 1533-position model. The record is from RNAcentral.
UGAGGAAUAUUGGUCAAUGGGCGGAAGCCUGAACCAGCCAUGCCGCGUGAAGGACUAAGGCCCUACGGGUCGUAAACUUCUUUAGACGCAGAGCAAUAAGGUCCACGCGUGGACCGAUGAGAGUAUGCGUAGAAUAAGCAUCGGCUAACUCCGUGCCAGCAGCCGCGGUAAUACGGAGGAUGCAAGCGUUAUCCGGAUUCAUUGGGUUUAAAGGGUGCGUAGGCGGCUUGGUAAGUCAGCGGUGAAAUUCCAGUGCUCAACAUUGGCCGUGCCGUUGAUACUGCUGGGCUUGAAUGCGGAUGCCGUGGGAGGAAUGUGUGGUGUAGCGGUGAAAUGCAUAGAUAUCACACAGAACACCGAUUGCGAAGGCAUCUCACGAAUCCGCAAUUGACGCUGAGGCACGAAAGUGUGGGAUCAAACAGGAUUAGAUACCCU